Molecule: long non-coding RNA, 798 nt
Filed under: Nicotiana tabacum (common tobacco)
Lineage: Eukaryota; Viridiplantae; Streptophyta; Magnoliopsida; Solanales; Solanaceae
Description: long non-coding RNA (NTAB_LNC002526)
Source: RNAcentral
UUUGUUUUAAUUGAUAUCUCUUCUUGAGAUUUAAUAGCCAAGGCUUUUAAAAAGGAAAUGUUGCUACCUUAUACAAGAUGAUCCAUAGGCAAUAGUGUUCCCUUCUUCAUCUCUGUAUCAACAUACAUCAAUUUACUUCACGUUCUCCUCCUCCUUCCAAGAUCAAAUAUUCUAAUCUUCCUCCGUCGAUUUCAUGGUUAUAACAUCGAUAUACUAUGAAUCUUAUCAAUCUGAAUAUUACUUUGUAAUGAAAUAAGGUAUCGAGAAGCUUUAAAGAGGCGAUCUUGGCUUGAUCCGUUGUCUACGAUCUUCUACGAGCUCAUACGCGCAAUUAAGGUAUGUUAAGUCUAUCCCUUCUUUCUUUUUGGCAUGAUCCAAGUGAUGCAAACGAAACGAGCAAAAUACGCAACUCUCAUAAAUGACUCUAUUCAUAAAAAUACCAGGGGUGUCUAUAUUCUUGAUUCCACAUGUGAAUUAUUAUUAUAUCCUCUGUUCAUGGGUCUCAGAAAAAUAUGUAUUUGAUAAAGUUUGUCCGAAAGACAUAUUGAUUUUAUAAUAGUCGAGAAAUCUUAUUAAUGUAUUUCUUAUGCAUUUCAUGCAUUUAUACGUGUACAUUGACCCAUGACCAGAAAGCGUUAUAUACGCGCAUAUUAUAUGUAUAUGGGAUAUGGGAAAAGGUUACGACGUUAUAUACGCACCACCACCUGAUCAGCUGGUAUAUGUUGAUGAUUUGCCCACAGUGGCCGAGAUGAUAUGAUGGGAUGCCCUCAGAGGCUUGAUGAUGUUAUGUACGCAUAU